Molecule: small nuclear RNA, 112 nt
Filed under: Propithecus coquereli (Coquerel's sifaka)
Lineage: Eukaryota; Metazoa; Chordata; Mammalia; Primates; Indriidae
Source: RNAcentral
GUGUUUGCUUCAGCAGCACACAAACUAAACUGAUGAUAUGGAGAAGAUUAGCAUGGCCCCUGGACAAAGAUGGCAUGAAAUUUGUGGAGAGUUAAAAAAAGAGCCUAUUUUU